Molecule: ribosomal RNA, 440 nt
Filed under: uncultured Paracoccaceae bacterium
Lineage: Bacteria; Pseudomonadati; Pseudomonadota; Alphaproteobacteria; Rhodobacterales; Paracoccaceae
Description: bacterial SSU rRNA
Rfam family: Bacterial small subunit ribosomal RNA
Source: RNAcentral
CCUACGGGGGGCAGCAGUGGGGAAUCUUAGACAAUGGGCGCAAGCCUGAUCUAGCCAUGCCGCGUGAGUGAUGAAGGCCUUAGGGUCGUAAAGCUCUUUCGCCAGAGAUGAUAAUGACAGUAUCUGGUAAAGAAACCCCGGCUAACUCCGUGCCAGCAGCCGCGGUAAUACGGAGGGGGUUAGCGUUGUUCGGAAUUACUGGGCGUAAAGCGCACGUAGGCGGAUCAGAAAGUUGGGGGUGAAAUCCCAGGGCUCAACCCUGGAACGGCCUCCAAAACUCCUGGUCUUGAGUUCGAGAGAGGUGAGUGGAAUUCCGAGUGUAGAGGUGAAAUUCGUAGAUAUUCGGAGGAACACCAGUGGCGAAGGCGGCUCACUGGCUCGAUACUGACGCUGAGGUGCGAAAGUGUGGGGAGCAAACAGGAUUAGAUACCCUGGUAGUC